Molecule: non-coding RNA, 1574 nt
Organism: Plectropomus leopardus (leopard coralgrouper)
Lineage: Eukaryota; Metazoa; Chordata; Actinopteri; Perciformes; Serranidae
Source: the annotation of a RefSeq genome assembly
UGGAGGACUGACAGCUGUCCUUCGUGACAACAGAAGACACAGAAACCCUCCUCAUCAGAAACAUGACUUUGACCUCCGUCCUCAUCGGGACUCUCCUCUGCUUCGCUCGGGGUUCUGUCGGACAAAACGUUGUCUUGACUCAGUCGGCAGCCAAAGCGGUGCAGCUGGGUCAAACCGUCUCUAUCGACUGUAAAGCCAAUCCAACAGUUGCUCAUUACUCUGGUUCUCAAUACUACCUGGCCUGGUACCAACAGAAAACUGGAGAAACUCCUAAACUUCUCAUCUAUGUAACAUCAGCCCAAUUUUCUGGAGUCUCGUCCAGAUUCAGUGGAAGUGGAGCGGGGAACGGAGUUGACUUCACUCUGACCAUCAGUGGAGUUCAAACCGAAGAUGCAGCAGUUUACUACUGCCAGAGUUAUCACUCUAUCAGCAGUCAAGCUGUGUUCACACCGUGAAAAAGCGUCGUACAAAAACCUCCGUCAGCCACUGCAGAGGAACUGAAGUGACUACUGCAGCUCGAAGCUACUGCAGAGACUGAUACACACACACACACACACACACACACACACACACACACACACGCACACAUGCACACACACACGCACACACACACAUACACACAGAGUGUGUCUGGCAUCAGCUCAUUUACACAAUAUAAAAAAAUCACCUUGUUUGCAGAUGACAUCCUGUAAAACAUCAUAAAACCCUCAUUCUUUCAUUCAGUUCAUAAUCACAGCAGAAGGUCGUGCAGAUUGUCUGGAUCCUCUCAAUCACAUUUUAAAUGUUCAUCAAAUAUUUUGAUUAAAAUCCAAAUUUCAUCUAACUGAGAUAAAGAAGUAUUAACAAAGUAUUUCUCUCACAUAAAAGAAAUAAAAAGUGAUUCGGAAAUUUGGAAUCAUCAUUUUUCUUGAUUCAUAUGUACAAAACAAAGAGGUUUAAAACAUUUUGCUGCACAUCAAAGCUAACCUCUGUUUUAGAUGAGCUUUACCUCUGAUGUAUGAUAACAUUAACACUAAAACUACAAAUCACGUCUGCAGGGAGCCUCAGGGCGCUGUCCCGCCUGAAGUGGCCGUCCUCCUCCAGCACCCCGGGACUCUUGCUUCCAGGACAGACUCCAGUCUGAGGGGAGGCCCCUGUUGACCCGGCACAGGGGGGGCAGCGCCGUCAGGGUGGGACAACGUGACCCCCUGGAGGAGACACAGAGACAACAUGAAGACAGUUCCUGCAGAGAGAAAAUCAACUCCACCCUGUUGGCGGCGGCAGAGGAGGCUGCUGGUUUAGCUGGUCGUCCUCAGACUUGAUCAAACUGGUCUUCAGUGUUUCACUUCUCUCGCUGAGCUCAGUAACCAUGGCAAUGGGCAGGCAUCACUGCUGAACCGUGGCAACAGGCAGGUCUCGGGUCUAAAGAUAGAGUUUCAGGCGCAAAUCUCUUUCUUUAGUUGAACUAACAAACCAGCAACCAAAGACAAAAUGUAAUUCUGUGAGUGUGAGACUCUGAUUUGAUUGUCAACAUUUUCAACUCAAUGCUGUCUUCAUUUACGCCAAUAUCACCGCUGACCAGGGACAACACACAG